CAGUCGAGGAUCUUCGGCAAUGGGCGCAAGCCUGACCGAGCGAGGCCGCGUGGGCGAUGAAGGCCUUCGGGUUGUAAAGCCCUGUCGAGGGGGAGAAAAGCCGAAAGGUGUGAUCUAUCCCUGGAGGAAGCACGGGCUAAGUUCGUGCCAGCAGCCGCGGUAAGACGAACCGUGCGAACGUUGUUCGGAAUCACUGGGCUUAAAGGGCGCGUAGGCGGGCUAUCAAGUCCGGGGUGAAAUCCUCCAGCUUAACUGGAGAACUGCCUCGGAUACUGAUGGUCUCGAGGAGGAUAGGGGCACACGGAACUGUGGGUGGAGCGGUGAAAUGCGUUGAUAUCCAUAGGAACUCCGGUGGCGAAAGCGGUGUGCUGGAUCCUUUCUGACGCUGAGGCGCGAAAGCCAGGGGAGCAAACGGGAUUAGA
RNAcentral lists this ribosomal RNA (422 nucleotides) under uncultured bacterium. RNAcentral's name for it is "bacterial SSU rRNA". It matches the Rfam family "Bacterial small subunit ribosomal RNA", at positions 352 to 782 of the family's 1533-position model. The record is from RNAcentral.